CCUUCUCUAUGGCCACCGCCCUAGAGCACUUCCCGUAUUCGGGAGCGCCGGCUUCGUCGAUCGGCUGGGACAUGUAACGGUCGCCGUCACCAUGGAGACGCCCGGCACCAGGGUCCUCCUGUCCCAGUCAGAAGAAGCACUGGCCUCUCCCUUGCCAAACGAAAGCAUAAAUUCUCCACUGCCAAACCUAACACCAAGACACCAAGACCUGAUUGCCACACCAUGUGGCCCUAUCAAACGAUGGUCCGAAUUGUCGUCCCCUGUCAAGAUCUACUUCUGUGUCACCAUCCUUUCGCUGUUGAGCGUCAUUGGAUUAACCGUGGAGACCCUCAUCCAGCAGAAAAAUGAAGAUUUCACUGUGUCUCUCAUCCAGAUCAUUGGCCUUGUUUUCUGCAUCUAUUACGUCAGCCGGGGGAUCCUUGCAGGAGAAUCGCCAGGAGCUGGUUGUCUUCGUCCUCUCUGUCGUCUUGGUCAUGCUGCGCUCCGUGAUCAACUUCACCGUCCUGCCCGCCAAGCAGAAGCCGGAGUUGUUGGCCCGCUUCGUCCUGAUCCUUCUGGUGGGAGCCUUUGACGUCUCCUGCGCCAUGAUCCUGAUUCAGAGCGAGAGCCGGAUGGCCUUCCGAGUGGGCGGCGCGUUGGAGAGCCUCCAAGCCCAGUAUUUCAUGCUGACCUCUGCUUUUCCAUGCUGACCUUUGACCUCCAGGCUCAGCUCUGUUUGUGCGCCCUGCUGCUGACGACAACCCGGGAGAUUUCAAACCUGCACAGUGUGUUCCUGGCUGUUGGGAUUUGCUGGGCUGUCCUGAAAGUGGCCUGUGGCAUCACCGCAAUCUUAAAAGAGUUGAAACCUCUUGCCUGGGUUUUUGUGAUUCAGAAUCUACCAGAAGUGGCUUAUCUGGCAUACCUCCUGUACGCGGUGAUAACCGAAUGGGGCAAAGGGAACUCUUACGCCUUGGAAGCCGCCAUCAUCACCUGCUCUUGCAUUUCAGUGAUGAUCAAAAGCGUCCUGUCUGGGCACUGUUUCACGUCUAUCAGAGUUUUGGGCAAGGCCUGAGAGAGAGGAUGUUUUCUUCCUAUGGAAGGAUCGAUUCGUGACCCGCAGCUCCAUUGCCGAAACCGAUGUGCUCUUAUAGAGUGAAAAACCAAGUUGGGAAAAUGUGAUUUCCCCCCUUCCCUCCCCUUCUUGCCCCCCCCUGGUUGGACUCUGAUAAGAGAAGCAGCAGCAACAGCAGUGACUCAGUCCCAAGGGAGACCUUCCACCUCGCUGGAUCUCCGGGAUCACCCCGCCAAGACAUUCCUCACACCGAAAAGCCAACUGAAACCAUGCAUCGUCCCGAUUCUCCCCUAAAGGUCCUUUGGAGCACCUCCUCGAUGUAGCUUUCACUGCAAGCAGCCUUUCUCGUGCUGGGAGUGGGGGGGGGGGGUUGUCUUGGCACAUUUGUUCCCCCUGGUUGUAUUGUAACCCCCCCCAUUUUACUUUAUUUUUUUACUUAAUUUGGGCCCUGCCCCCGUUGGCAUGCCCGAACUUGACCGACGGGGGCAGAUUUUGCAGUUGCCAAAUUGCAAAGCGGGAUCCCGGGGGCGUGGCCGCACUUUCAAUAUAAAUCGAAUAAUUCUUCGCCCUAAAAGAGCCUCGGGCCCCGCUUGGCCUGGCCUGACCCGCUCUCCGAAUCCAGUUUGAAACCCGAAACGUUCUCUUUCGGUCGCUCCCGUUUUGCCACGCUCUGUUAACCGAGAGAGCGGCUGUUCACACUUCCGAGGCUGCAGGAAGGGGGUUGUCAUCCCAAUUGCAAGGUUGCUUCGGUUCCUGGCAGGCACUCCAGGUGGCAUCGCUGCCCUCCUGAUGUGGUGCCAAGAGUGGCAAAGCACAGGAGCAUACUGGUUGGCGUAGGCUGGUCAGUUUUGCAUGAACCCUUGUAGAAAAGACAGAGAUUUUGUUCCACCUGAACAAUUUCGGGUCAGAAAUCACCCAAGGCAGGAGAGAAUGAACGGUGAAAACCGUUUGCCUAAAAUUGCCGCGUCUGUGUUGUACAAACUGGGCCCUUGCAAGGCUUAGCAUGUCCGUCUUAAUCAGAUACACACAAACUUUUCUUGGCUCUGUCAGCCCUUCCAGGCUAAAAGUUUCCUUUGGUCAAUAUUAGCAUGGCUGAUUUCUUGCUGACUCCAGAGAGCUCUCUUUAAAAAAAAAAAAGUUAAAAAUGCAAUCUUAAAAACUUUGAAGGUUUUUGGUCCUUCCUUUUCAAAAACAGCCCCAAGCGAUGUUGAGUAUCUUAGCCGAGUUAAUCUUCGUAUAACAAAGCGAUUUUUUUUUCUAACAAAACCCCAGAAUUUCAUACUCUUGAAUCAUAAUGCUUUAUUUAAAUAAAUAAAUCAUAAUUUUUUAAAAAAACAAGAGUUGUUACGAGCCUUGUAUUUUUCAAUAAAGGAUCAAUGG
Thamnophis elegans (Western terrestrial garter snake) is the source of this 2431-nucleotide long non-coding RNA. RefSeq lists it as uncharacterized. The transcript has 9 exons. The record is from RefSeq and is a predicted model, not a curated record. Lineage: Eukaryota; Metazoa; Chordata; Lepidosauria; Squamata; Natricidae.